This 2533-nucleotide long non-coding RNA is filed under the name Sus scrofa (pig). RNAcentral's name for it is "lncRNA (ENSSSCG00060002756.1)". The record is from RNAcentral. Lineage: Eukaryota; Metazoa; Chordata; Mammalia; Artiodactyla; Suidae.
ACAGGGCUUGCAGAGGCAGGCAGUGCAAGUUCAGGUUUCCAGGCUCCUGUCUUUCCUUCCUGUCAGCUCCAAAGAGGAGUGAUGGUGGGUUUUUUGUUUUUUGUUUAAAAAAAGAAGAAGAAGAAGAAAACCUGGUUGGAGCAAAAAGGAAACCUGGGGUAUGAAGAGUUAAAUUUCUACUGCUCUCUUUUCAGGUGGCUAAAGCUCAGAUGGCUGCUCAGGCAGCUGCGAAGACCAGGACAAUAAAAAUCUCAAUCCGAAUCUCUCAACAGUUCAGCCUGUGAGGGAGGGAGGCUGGAGGCAGGGGCCGGGGAGGCCAGUCCUCGCCCCUGAGACCGCAGGGCACAGAGAAAGGAGGCCCCACUCAAGGAGUCCACAGCCUGGGGGACCCGCUCUCGCGCCAAAGCCUCAUUACAGAAAGUUUUUGCUAGAACAACUUACAGAAAAGGCCCCAGGAGGCCUGAGCGGGGUUUGGGCUCUUUGCACAGGACCCUGUUGACUCGUGCUGCUGACGGCCAAGGGGGCCAGUCGGUGUGCGGAAUAGCGAAUCCACGCAGGCUAAACCAUUUGCUGGAGUUUUGGGUUGCUGUGUAAGAGUGUGGUGGGGAUACGUGGGGAACUGGUUGGCAUCUUCUCUGCAGGAAUGCAUUAUUAUUUAUUAUUAUUAUUAUUGUUAUUGUUAUUGCUGUUGCUAUUAUUAUUGUCUUUUUAGAGCCUCGCUCGUGGCAGAUGGAGGUUCCCAGGCUGUGGGUAGAAUUGGAGCUACAGCUGCGGACCUGCACCACAGCCACAGCAACGCCGGGCCUGCGACCGACACCACAGCUCAGGGCAACGCCAGAUCCUUAACCCGCUGAGCGAGGCCAGGGAUUGGUCAGAUUGGUUUCCCCUGAGCCAUGAGAGGAACUCCGAGGACUGCAUUAUCAUUAUAUUUUAAUUUUUAAAAAAUUUACUGGUGAUGUUUAAGAAUAGGGGGCUGGGAGUUCCGUUGUGGCUCAGCAGUAACGAACCCAAAUAGCAUCCUCGAGGACACAGGUUCGAUCCCUGGGUCUGGCAUUGCUGUGAACUGUGGUGUAGGUCAAAGACUCCACUUGGAUCUGGCGUUGCAUCCUCUUGGUUGCUAGCAGGGUUUGCUACCCACUGAGCCACCGUGGGAACGCCUUCCCUUGCCUUUUAAACUGCUUUGGAGUUUUGUUGUUCUUGUUGUUACUGUGGAAACGGAGACAUGACACGUUGGUGAUACGGACUGAAGUAAAGAGAAUUCUAGAAGGAGGUUUCAUUGACUCCAGCUACGAGUCAAGCUGACUUUACUCUCUGCUGAGCCUGCAGUCCUCAGAAGCCCCCCUGUUCUCCACUGUCUUUGCUUCUGUCACCCCUGCUGCUUCAGGCUUUCCCUUAAAUUGUCCUCUUAAAUAGAGGCUGAGCCCUGCAGCUCUUUCGUUGUAACCCAUUGUUACUGUGUUACUUUAGAGCCCCGGGAUGUGGCUGCCUAGUGUGGGAGAGAGGAAGCAUUCUGCCAUCCUUUAAAGCCCCGGCUUUGACUGCUUUUGCGCUGCAGGGAGCUGACACUCAGAGGUUGUCCUCCAGUCUAGCUCCUCUUAGAGAGGCCCUGAAGUCACGCUGUCUCGCUCCACCCCGACACCCCCCACCCCCUAGCCGGUUGGGGUGCAAUCCCUCCCUUGCUGAGCAGGCUCUGGGGGAAGUCUCAGGAUGGCUGCUUGUCCCCUCUUCCUUCCAGAAACAGGAGCUUUUGGUUUUGCUUGGCUCUCCCUAAUGAGAACCUGGUGCGGUGCUUGGAGGUAAAACCCAUGGCAGCCUGGCCCAUCCAGGGCUGCAGCCCCCAGGAAUGCCUUCCUCCCUCCACCUCCAGAAAUUGUUCCAAUGACCAGUUUAUGGCCUAGAGGAGCUGAUAUUGACUAUGAGUCUGUGUUCAACUAUAAUCCAGUUUCAGGGUAAGGUUUUGCUCUAUAACCUCAAUUCUCUGAGGGAUCCAAGAAAAAUCACUCUUCUCAGUUUGUACAUCUGUGUGUGUGUGUGCGCGCGCGCGCGUGUGUGUGUGUGCGUGUUAAGCACAUGAGUGACCAUUUCCAAGCUCUUUCUAUGUUGGAAUUGAAAACAUCUCAAACAUUUUUAUGGUACCAUUUUGUCAUCUUCAAGGACUUCUGGCUAUAAGGCGCUGUGGUGUCAUUGUACUGUUUUUAUGGUAGUCGUAGGGUUUCUGGUAUACGUCUCCAGGUCACCAUAGUUUCAAGAGUUGUUGUACUAUUUCACGUGGAAACUUCCAAUGCUGUAUAAAGCUAUCAAGGACCGCGUAGACACUGCUCGAGACAGACGUGGGAGGAGGCAGGAUCCUACCUCUGCCCCAGCUGAUGCCCAGUCAGGAAAAUAUGGAUUUUUUUUGGCUUUGGAUUAAUCCCAAAUGCCCACAUUUAUGAUGUUCUGUAUAGUCUGCCUGUUUGAACAUUGAGACAGUUAUGUCUUGCAGUGAUGAAAAACUAGAUACGGUUGACAAAUGCUCAAAAAAAAAAAAAAAAAA